Molecule: ribosomal RNA, 320 nt
Filed under: uncultured eukaryote
Lineage: Eukaryota
Description: partial 18S ribosomal RNA
Rfam family: Eukaryotic small subunit ribosomal RNA
Source: RNAcentral
CCCUUAGAUGUUCUGGGCCGCACGCGCGCUACACUGAUUCAUGCAACAAGUUUUGUCCUUGGCUGAUAGGCCUGGGUAAUCUUUGAACGUGAAUCGUGAUGGGGAUAGAUGAUUGCAAUUAUUCAUCUUCAACGAGGAAUUCCUAGUAAACGCAAGUCAUCAGCUUGCAUUGAUUACGUCCCUGCCCUUUGUACACACCGCCCGUCGCACCUACCGAUUGAAUGGUCCGGUGAAAUCUCGGGACGGCGGCUUGGUCGCUUGCGUCCGACUGCUGAAACUUGAUUAAACCAUAUCAUUUAGAGGAGGGUGAAGUCGUAACA